UAAAGGAAAAAAGAAACUGAAAAUAGAAAGGGAACUUAUGAAGAAGAGAACAGACAAACAACAUUGCUUAGAUGAUAGAAAAGGAAUAUAGUUGUAUCAUAUUUAUUGAUCUACUUAGAUUCAAUUAUAUAAGUUGUAUCAUUCAUAUAUUCACGUAGUUGACAAACAAUAUCGGUUUCUCUUUUGAGGGGCUCUCGUUGAUGGGUUCUGCUUAGCUUAUCUCCUGUGUCUGUUCCCAUUUGUUAAAAAAGUAUCAUGAUGGGAAAUAGUAUUAAAGAUGAUGAUGAUGAUUCGUUCACUCAGCCCCUUGGAAGACGGUCUGUCAUUUAUUAUGGCAUGGGUCACAUGCUCAAUGAUAUCACUGCUGCCUGUUGGUUCACUUACCUCUUAUUGUUCUUGACAGAUAUUGGACUUUCUCCAAGGGAUGCUGCUAUGGUUAUGCUUUCAGGUCAAGUAACUGAUGGAUUUACAACCAUAUUGGCUGGUGAACUGGUACAUAUUUAUAU
Long non-coding RNA from Quercus lobata, 506 nucleotides. RefSeq lists it as uncharacterized. NCBI's taxonomy places the organism in Eukaryota, Viridiplantae, Streptophyta, Magnoliopsida, Fagales, Fagaceae. The transcript has 3 exons. The record is from RefSeq and is a predicted model, not a curated record.